AACGUAGGACGCAAGCGUUAUCCGGAGUUACUGGGCGUAAAGCGCGGGCAGGCGGUGCUUGAAGUCUGAUGUGAAAGCGCCCGGCUCAACCGGGCGAGGCCAUUGGAAACUCGAGCACUGGAAGGCGAGAGAGGUAGGCGGAAUUCCGGGUGGAGUGGUGAAAUGCGUAGAGAUCCGGAGGAACACCAGAGGCGAAGGCGGCCUACUGGCUCGCACUUGACGCUGAGCCGCGAAAGCUAGGGGAGCGAACGGG
RNAcentral lists this ribosomal RNA (253 nucleotides) under uncultured bacterium. Its description in RNAcentral is "partial 16S ribosomal RNA". It matches the Rfam family "Bacterial small subunit ribosomal RNA", at positions 524 to 776 of the family's 1533-position model. The record is from RNAcentral.